RNAcentral lists this ribosomal RNA (369 nucleotides) under Paralvinella palmiformis. RNAcentral describes it as "partial large subunit ribosomal RNA". It matches the Rfam family "Bacterial large subunit ribosomal RNA", at positions 1959 to 2517 of the family's 2925-position model. Lineage: Eukaryota; Metazoa; Annelida; Polychaeta; Terebellida; Alvinellidae. The record is from RNAcentral.
GCGUGAUAAUUCGCCCUUUAAUUGUGGGCUCGUAUGAAAGGACAAACGAGAGCUCAGCUGUCUCCCUAGUAGAACAGGAAAUUGUUAUUCAGGUGAAGAAACCUGAAUUUAAAUAAAGGACAAAAAGACCCCAUAGAGCUUUGUUGAACUCCUUACUAACUAAGAAGUAUGCCUACAUUCUUAGUUAGCAAGGUAACAACUUAACUGGGGCGGUUAAGGAAAAUCUUAAACUUCCAUCUCUAGCUCUCUAUGCAAACCAAGGCAAAUACAAGCCAAUACUAAUUUGACCCUUACUUUAAAGAUCAAAGGAUUAGCUACCUUGGGGAUAACAGAUUCAUCCCCCUUAAGAGUCCGCAUUGACAGGGGGGC